CUAUGAACUAGCAUGUGCGCAUACUGUGGUAUGUCUGGCGCUGUUAUCUGCAGUAGUAACACGCUUUAAUGCACUUUAGUCACUUUUGUGAGAGUGUCUUGUGAUAAAGAGAUUUUCUUGAGUAAUAUUUGAGAAAAAACCCAGCUGAAGUGAAUGAGAGUGGAGCUGAUGGAUUGCACCCGGAGUCAUGCAUGACUUAGCAUCUCGUUUGCUUCCCCCAGCUGGCAGAGACGUUGGAACAACGGCGGGAUUUACACAGACACAAAGUUUGGGGAUUGUAUUGGGAGCUCGUGACUGGUAGGAGAGCAAACAAAGAGUGGAGGUGUCGAGAUGAAACGGUUAAAUGGAAUAGAGUCGCCCCAAAUGAAAAAACCUGGAGCAGCGAGCAGAACAACAACAUCAACGUUUGGUCAUAAAGGCAAGGCAUGAGUUUUCUUUUCUUCUGUCUGUUUAAUGUUGUUAUUACUCUUCACUAUGCACUUGACUCCACUUCCUGUAGUUUGUAACUCGCUACUUCUUCCUUCUUUAACAGUGUUUGUAAGCAUUAUUUCCCCAGUUAAAGCAAAACUGCCAAAGGAAAGUUGUAAAUGACUUCCAUGAUGGAUUAUGAAGGUAAGGAAACUGUACUGAGAAUUUUUGUAACCAAUUACCGAAUUAAACAUAAGAUUCAGUUUGAGGCAGUCAUGAGGCCCCAGCCACAAGGAAAUGUACCUGCUUGUGAUUUCAAAGGAAAAUGCUAGAAUUAACAUUUGUCUUUUGGUUUUUAUUGGGAUCCAGCUGACUGAAUUAUUGACGAUAAUGUCCACCUCUCAAGUUUCAUAACCUUUCAGAAAUACUCAGGGAUAAACAUUGGAGUCCAAAAUACAGAGUUGAGGCAUCACUUGAACCUCUGCUAAAUGUGAACAAUCUUCCAGUGUGCAUCCAGCCUUCACAGGGAGACAACAUUCAAGGCGUAGAAUAUAUCUAAAAAGGAAAUACUGUACAAUAGUCACAUCACAGCCCAGCAGAGAGGACAGAGAGAUAGAGAAGGAAAAAGUGGCGCUUUUUUUUUUUAAACAUCUGAUUUUGUUUUUUCAACAUAUCAUUUUUUCUUUUUUCUUUGUACAAGCAUGUAAAGUUCACAGUCUCGCUGAAGCGAACACACGAAAAUCACUGGUGUGUGUGUCGCUUUUUUUCUCUUCUGUACAGGUUGUGUGUGUGUGUUGUCACAGGCACACUCAAAUAUGCAAGCAUGCCCUCUCUUAUUCACACAGAAUCACGUGCACACACUCUCAAACACACACACACUCACAGGCACACAUGCUCACAGGUUGGGUUCGGGUCACCACAAAGAAGUUUUGCACUCUGUGUGUCCCAGUGUUGCGUUGAGAAUGACAGGCAGCGUCAACGGCGAUCAGAAAAGAUGAUUUCAACCCACAGCCAAUCAGAAGGAGCUGAGUGCCUCCAAAGCCACUUCAUAGCAGAACUUAUAUUGUUCCUGGAAAACAAGAAUAAGAGAAGGAGCUGAGAGGAGGGUCGAUUGCUGAGUCCCACCUGGGCCUGGUGCGUGCUCCAGUAUAGUUACUCCUAUUGUCAUAAGUCACGCUCUGUCAUUGGGUAUGAGGAAAGCUCUGGGAUUCCUUCGUUGUUUUCCACACUUUGUUACUAAAUACUAACUGUACAAAACUGUGUUGUUUGAUUUUAACUUGU
This is a long non-coding RNA of Epinephelus fuscoguttatus (brown-marbled grouper), 1689 nucleotides long. RefSeq lists it as uncharacterized. The record is from RefSeq and is a predicted model, not a curated record. NCBI's taxonomy places the organism in Eukaryota, Metazoa, Chordata, Actinopteri, Perciformes, Serranidae. The transcript has 5 exons.